CUACGGGACGCAGCAGUGAGGAAUAUUGGACAAUGGGGGAAACCCUGAUCCAGCAAUGCCGCGUGAAUGAAGAAGGCCUUAGGGUUGUAAAGUUCUUUCACUCGUGAAGAUGAUGACGGUAGCGAGAGAAGAAGCCCCGGCUAACUCUGUGCCAGCAGCCGCGGUAAGACAGAGGGGGCUAGCGUUGUUCGGAAUAACUGGGCGUAAAGGGUGCGUAGGCGGUUGUUUAAGUAAAGUGUUAAAGCCCUGGGCUUAACCCAGGAAUCGCAUUUUAAACUGGACAGCUAGAGUGUGGUAGAGGAAAGUGGAAUUCCUAGUGUAGAGGUGGAAUUCGUAGAUAUUAGGAGGAACACCAGAGGCGAAGGCGGCUUUCUGGACCACAACUGACGCUGAGGCACGAAAGCGUGGGGAGCAAACAGGAUUAGAUACCCUUGUAGUC
This 439-nucleotide ribosomal RNA is filed under the name uncultured bacterium. RNAcentral describes it as "partial 16S ribosomal RNA". It matches the Rfam family "Bacterial small subunit ribosomal RNA", at positions 339 to 795 of the family's 1533-position model. The record is from RNAcentral.